GUUGAUGCCUUUGGACAUUUGGUCAAUAUGAAACGAUACAGAGAAGGUUAGCGAAGUCCCUGCACUGUGGAUGACACGCUCAAUCGAAGAGAAGCUACCAAUUCAA
RNAcentral lists this small nuclear RNA (106 nucleotides) under Blumeria graminis f. sp. tritici. The record is from RNAcentral. Lineage: Eukaryota; Fungi; Ascomycota; Leotiomycetes; Helotiales; Erysiphaceae. RNAcentral also lists the same sequence under 1 other name.